RNAcentral lists this ribosomal RNA (333 nucleotides) under Laparocerus puncticollis. RNAcentral describes it as "partial 12S ribosomal RNA". Lineage: Eukaryota; Metazoa; Arthropoda; Insecta; Coleoptera; Curculionidae. The record is from RNAcentral.
AAUACCCUAUUAUUUUAAAAGUAAUUAAUUAAAUCUAAUUAGUAAUAGUUAAGUUCUUGAAAAUUAAAGAAUUUGGCGGUAUUUUAGUCUAUUCAGAGGAAUCUGUCCUAUAAUUGAUAAUCCACGAUUUUUUAUACCUAAAUUAAUAAUUUACAUAUCGCCGUAGUUUGAAUAUUUUUUUAAAAUUAUAAUAUUCAAAAUUUAUUCUUAUAAAAAAAAUCAGGUCAAGGUGUAGUUUAUAUUUAGGGAGAGAUGGGUUACAAUAAAAAUAUUUAUUAUGGAUUAAUUAAUUAAAUUUUUUUAUGAAAGUGGAUUUGAAAGUAAUUUUAUUUA